RNAcentral lists this unclassified non-coding RNA (343 nucleotides) under soil metagenome. RNAcentral describes it as "partial contains 5.8S ribosomal RNA, internal transcribed spacer 2, and large subunit ribosomal RNA". The stretch from base 1 to 120 matches the Rfam family "5.8S ribosomal RNA", at positions 35 to 154 of the family's 154-position model. The record is from RNAcentral.
GAUGAAGAACGUAGCGAAAUGCGAUAAGUAAUGUGAAUUGCAGAAUUCAGUGAAUCAUCGAAUCUUUGAACGCACAUUGCGCCCGCUAGUAUUCUGGCGGGCAUGCCUGUCCGAGCGUCAUUUCAACCCUCAAGCCCCCGGGCUUGGUGUUGGGGAUCGGCGAGCCUCCGCGCCCGCCGUCCCCUAAAUCUAGUGGCGGUCUCGCUGUAGCUUCCUCUGCGUAGUAGCACACCUCGCACUGGGAAACAGCGCGGCCACGCCGUUAAACCCCCAACUUCUGAACGUUUGACCUCGGAUCAGGUAGGAAUACCCGCUGAGCUUAAGCAUAUCAAUAAGCGGAGGA